UGGCGGCGUGCCUAACACAUGCAAGUCGAACGAGAAAGGGGAGCAAUCCCUGAGUAAAGUGGCGACCGGGUGAGUAACACGUGACUAACCUGCCUUCGAGUGGGGGAUAACCUCGGGAAACCGGGGCUAAUACCGCAUAAUGCCGAGAGGUUAGAGGAGCAAUUCGCUUGAAGAGGGGGUCGCGGCUGAUUAGCUAGUUGGCGGGGUAACGGCCCACCAAGGCGAUGAUCGGUAGCCGGCCUGAGAGGGCGCACGGCCACACUGGAACUGAAACACGGUCCAGACUCCUACGGGAGGCAGCAGUGGGGAAUUUUGCGCAAUGGGGGAAACCCUGACGCAGCAACGCCGCGUGGAGGAUGAAGUCCCUUGGGACGUAAACUCCUUUCGACCGGGACGAUAAUGACGGUACCGGUGGAAGAAGCCCCGGCUAACUUCGUGCCAGCAGCCGCGGUAAUACGAGGGGGGCGAGCGUUGUUCGGAAUUAUUGGGCGUAAAGGGCGCGUAGGCGGUGCGGUAAG
Molecule: ribosomal RNA, 518 nt
Filed under: uncultured Acidobacteriota bacterium
Lineage: Bacteria; Pseudomonadati; Acidobacteriota
Description: bacterial SSU rRNA
Rfam family: Bacterial small subunit ribosomal RNA
Source: RNAcentral